RNAcentral lists this transfer RNA (71 nucleotides) under Trichechus manatus latirostris (Florida manatee). Its description in RNAcentral is "tRNA-Gly (TCC) (tRNA-Gly-TCC-23-1)". It matches the Rfam family "tRNA". From Rfam's summary of the family: Transfer RNA (tRNA) molecules are approximately 80 nucleotides in length. Their secondary structure includes four short double-helical elements and three loops (D, anti-codon, and T loops). The record is from Rfam by way of RNAcentral. Lineage: Eukaryota; Metazoa; Chordata; Mammalia; Sirenia; Trichechidae.
GCAGUGGUGGUUCAGUGGUAGAAUUCUCACCUUCCAUGCGGGAGACCUGGGUUCGAUUCCCAGCCAGUGCA